RNAcentral lists this ribosomal RNA (555 nucleotides) under uncultured Glomerales. RNAcentral describes it as "SSU rRNA". It matches the Rfam family "Eukaryotic small subunit ribosomal RNA", at positions 548 to 1098 of the family's 1831-position model. Lineage: Eukaryota; Fungi; Glomeromycota; Glomeromycetes; Glomerales; Glomeraceae. The record is from RNAcentral.
UUGGAGGGCAAGUCUGGUGCCAGCAGCCGCGGUAAUUCCAGCUCCAAUAGCGUAUAUUAAAGUUGUUGCAGUUAAAAAGCUCGUAGUUGAAUUUCGGGAUUGACGUGAUGGUCAUGCCUUAAGGGGUAUGAACUGUUACUGUUGAUUUCUCACCUUCUGGAGAAACUUGAUGUCCUUUAUUGGGUGUCUUGCGGAUCCAGGACCUUUACCUUGAAAAAAUUAGAGUGUUUAAAGCAGGCAUUUUUGCUCGAAUACAUUAGCAUGGAAUAAUAGAAUAGGACGGCAUGGUUCUAUUUUGUUGGUUUCUAGGAUCACCGUAAUGAUUAAUAGGGAUAGUUGGGGGCAUUAGUAUUCAAUUGUCAGAGGUGAAAUUCUUGGAUUUAUUGAAGACUAACUACUGCGAAAGCAUUUGCCAAGGAUGUUUUCAUUAAUCAAGAACGAAAGUUAGGGGAUCGAAGACGAUCAGAUACCGUCGUAGUCUUAACCAUAAACUAUGCCGACUAGGAAUCAGACGAUGUUAAUUUUUUAAUGACUCGUUUGGCACCUUACAGAAAC